GAAAGGCGUAGGCGAUGGACAGCUGGUCAACAUUCCAGCACCACUGGCGAGUACCGAUGGGGUGACAGGGAAGGGUAGACACAGCGGGGCGUUGGUUGUCCCCGUGCAAACAGGUAGGGGGUUCGGUAGGAAAAUCCGCCGAACACAUACCCCGAGAGGAUGCCGAGCCCGCAAGGGCGUAGUGGUUGAUCCCAUGCUCUCAAGAAAAACCUCUAAGGGUUGAUACGCAAGUGCCCGUACCGCAAACCGACACAGGUAGGUGGGAAGAGGAUUCUUAGGCGAUCGAGAGAACCGUGGUUAAGGAACUCGGCAAAUUGUCCCCGUAACUUCGGAAGAAGGGGAGCCCCUGCCGGUGAAGGACCUCGCGUCUGGAGCCAGUGGGGGCCGCAGAGAAAUGGCCCAAGCGACUGUUUACUAAAAACACAGGUCCCUGCCAAAGCGAAAGCUGAUGUAUAGGGGCUGACGCCUGCCCGGUGCUGGAAGGUUAAGAGGAAGGGUGAGAGCCUUGAAUUGAAGCCCCAGUAAACGGCGGCCGUAACUAUAACGGUCCUAAGGUAGCGAAAUUCCUUGUCGGGUAAGUUCCGACCCGCACGAAUGGCGUAACGACUUGGGCGCUGUCUCGACCACGGACUCGGCGAAACUGAAGUACCUGUGAAGAUGCAGGUUACGCGCGGCAGGACGGAAAGACCCCGUGGAGCUUUACUGCAACUUGGCAUUGAUGUGGGGUCUAGCAUGUAGAGGAUAGCUGGGAGACUUUGAAGCGGGGCCGCCAGGUCUCGUGGAGUCAACCUUGGAAUACCAGCCUUGCUAGGUUUUAUGUCUAACCGGUGCCGUUAUCCGGUAUCGGGACCAUGUCAGGUAGGCAGUUUGACUGGGGCGGU
This 881-nucleotide ribosomal RNA is filed under the name mine drainage metagenome. Its description in RNAcentral is "bacterial LSU rRNA". It matches the Rfam family "Bacterial large subunit ribosomal RNA", at positions 1404 to 2283 of the family's 2925-position model. The record is from RNAcentral.